This 451-nucleotide ribosomal RNA is filed under the name uncultured Fibrobacter sp. Its description in RNAcentral is "partial 16S ribosomal RNA". It matches the Rfam family "Bacterial small subunit ribosomal RNA", at positions 341 to 792 of the family's 1533-position model. The record is from RNAcentral. Lineage: Bacteria; Pseudomonadati; Fibrobacterota; Fibrobacteria; Fibrobacterales; Fibrobacteraceae.
ACGGAAGGCAGCAGUAGGGAAUAUUGCACAAUGGGGGAAACCCUGAUGUAGCAACGCCACGUGUGGGAAGAAGCAUUUCGGUGUGUAAACCACUGCCGUGAAGGAACAAUGCUGGACCUCGGUCCAGUUGAAUGUACUUUGAAAGGAAGCACCGGCAAACUUCGUGCCAGCAGCCGCGGUAAUACGAGGGGUGCAAGCGUUGUUCGGAAUCACUGGGCGUAAAGGGAGCGCAGGCGGAGAUGCAAGCAGUCUGUACAAUACCGGGGCCCAACCCCGGACCUGCAGACUGGACUGUUCCUCUUGGAUAGCUCAGGGGCUGGCGGAAUUCCUGGUGUAGCGGUGGAAUGCGUAGAGAUCAGGAAGAACACCGAUGGCGAAGGCAGCCAGCUGGGGGCUUAUCGACGCUCAUGCUCGAAAGUGCGGGUAGCAAACAGGAUUAGAUACCCUGGUA